UAGACCUUAUUCUGUUGAUAAGAUCUAAUGAUGAAACUGUAUCGAUGAAUAGAAUUAUCGAAAAAUGUGAAUUAGAAUUCUACUGGAGAAAAGUAUUGUUGAUUCUCUGAAUAAUCUGGAGAUAGCUAUAUAAUUUCACUAGUGAGUUUUACUAUUGUUGGCAAUUCUUGGGAGAUUUUGAGCAUCUUAAAUUUAGCAUUAACGGAUUGAUGGUGCUUUGGAUGGGCUUAGACCUGGAAUGUUCCUUACUCCUAGCUAUGACAUUAUCAAUCUAUCCAUUUGAAAAAGGGUUUGAGGUGUUCUUAGGAUAAAGGUUGAUCAUUAAAUCAUGGGCAAAGUUAAAAGAAGAAAGAGGAUCAUAGAUUAUGAAAAGUAUUUGAUGCUUCAUCUAUUUCGGUUAAGCCGAUUACGAUCGUUGUGUGGACUUAAUCGAGAGCAAUUAAUUUCUUGGGCCAAGAAUCAUAGCAUUUAAAAUCUAAGGUUGGAAGAUUAGUCCUCUUUUGAAAGAGAUCAAAGAACUCCUACGUGUCAUAGAUGGAAAGGUUCAAGUUUUGAGAUGCCAUGACUUUGUAUGUCAAAAUCUUAUCAGUAGGUACUCCGAGAGAGAGACUAACUGAGAUCUCACGGAUGACUCGAUGGUUGAAUACUUUUAAAGCCUGAACCCGAAGGUAUGACUAAUUUCGAGGACGAAAUUUUUUUUUAAGGAGGGAAGAA
Molecule: long non-coding RNA, 714 nt
Filed under: Phoenix dactylifera (date palm)
Lineage: Eukaryota; Viridiplantae; Streptophyta; Magnoliopsida; Arecales; Arecaceae
Description: long non-coding RNA (PDAC_LNC019092)
Source: RNAcentral